UACGGAGGCAGCAGUGGGGAAUAUUGCACAAUGGGCGAAAGCCUGAUGCAGCUAUGCCGCGUGUAUGAAGAAGGCCUUAGGGUUGUAAAGUACUUUCAUCGGGGAGGAAAAACAAAACUAAUAAUUUUAUUUCUUGACGUUACCCGAAAAAGAAGCACCGGCUAACUCCGUGCCAGCAGCCGCGGUAAUACGGAGGGUGCUAGCGUUAAUCAGAAUUACUGGGCGUAAAGAGCACGUAGGUGGUUUUUUAAGUCAGAUGUGAAAUCCCUGGGCUUAACCUAGGAACUGCAUUUUGAAACUGAAAUACUAGAGUAUCGUAGAGGGAGGUAGAAUUCUAGGUGUAGCGGUGAAAUGCGUAGAUAUCUGGAGGAAUACCUGUGGCGAAAGCGGCCUCCUAAACGAAUACUGACACUGAGGUGCGAAAGCGUGGGGAGCAAACAGGGAUUAGAUACC
RNAcentral lists this ribosomal RNA (453 nucleotides) under uncultured bacterium. RNAcentral describes it as "bacterial SSU rRNA". It matches the Rfam family "Bacterial small subunit ribosomal RNA", at positions 340 to 786 of the family's 1533-position model. The record is from RNAcentral.